This 898-nucleotide ribosomal RNA is filed under the name SAR324 cluster bacterium. Its description in RNAcentral is "bacterial SSU rRNA". It matches the Rfam family "Bacterial small subunit ribosomal RNA", at positions 1 to 914 of the family's 1533-position model. Lineage: Bacteria; Deltaproteobacteria. The record is from RNAcentral.
UAACUUGAGAGUUUGAUCCUGGCUCAGGACGAACGCUGGCGGCAUGCCUAACACAUGCAAGUCGAACGAGAAAGUUCCUUCGGGAGCAAUUAAAGUGGCGCACGGGUGAGUAACGCGUAGACAAUCUGCCCUUCAGUCUGGGACAACUUUUCGAAAGGAGAGCUAAUACCGGAUAACAAUGCAUGACACAAGUUGUAUAUUUGAAAGCUUUAUGUGCUGAAGGAGGGGUCUGCGUCCCAUUAGCUAGUUGGUGAGGUAAAGGCUUACCAAGGCAACGAUGGGUAGCGGGUUUGAGAGGACGAUCCGUCACACUGGAACUGAGACACGGUCCAGACUCCUACGGGAGGCAGCAGUGGGGAAUAUUGCACAAUGGAGGAAACUCUGAUGCAGCAAUGUCGCGUGAGUGAAGAAGGCCCUUGGGUCGUAAAGCUCUUUUAUGGGGGAAGAUGAUGACGGUACCCCAGGAAUAAGCACCGGCUAACUACGUGCCAGCAGCCGCGGUAAUACGUAGGGUGCGAGCGUUGUUCGGAAUUACUGGGCGUAAAGGGCGCGCAGGCGGGAUAGCAAGUCGGAGGUGAAAGCCCGGGGCUCAACCCCGGAGGGUCUUUCGAAACUGCUAAUCUAGAGAGGGUCAGGGGCCAGCAGAAUUCCUGGUGUAGAGGUGAAAUUCGUAGAUAUCAGGAGGAAUACCGGUGGCGAAAGCGGCUGGCUGGGGCCACUCUGACGCUGAGGCGCGAAAGCGUGGGGAGCAAACGGGAUUAGAUACCCCGGUAGUCCACGCCGUAAACGAUGAGCACUGGACGUCCGGAGGGUUCGACCCUUCUGGGUGUUUCAGCUAACGCAUUAAGUGCUCCGCCUGGGGAGUACGGUCGCAAGACUAAAACUCAAAGGAAUUGAC